RNAcentral lists this transfer RNA (85 nucleotides) under Felis catus (domestic cat). It matches the Rfam family "tRNA". Rfam says of the family: Transfer RNA (tRNA) molecules are approximately 80 nucleotides in length. Their secondary structure includes four short double-helical elements and three loops (D, anti-codon, and T loops). Lineage: Eukaryota; Metazoa; Chordata; Mammalia; Carnivora; Felidae. The record is from Rfam by way of RNAcentral.
GCCCGGGUGGCUCAGUUGGUUAAGCAUCUGACUUCAGCUUAGGUCAUGAUCUAACGGUUUGUGGGUUCAAGCCCCACGUUGGGCU